GGACCUCCACUCACCGACAUCUGCCAAGCACUGACCCAAGGGGCAGGACCAAGGUCAGAGGAGAACCGAAUUUCUGCACAGGGUGGAAGAGGGCCGAGCAGAAGCACAGGAAGGGGAAGCCACGCCCCCUGGUGCUGGCUUUUUAAGCAACAGCGCCUUUGCGCCUAUGCUCCGCCUACCCCUCUCCUAAAAGCUGAGGGCUGGGCUUCAUUUGCAAGUGCUGCGCAUUAGGGGCGCAUUAACGACCCCAGCUGUCCCAAGGGGCCCUGGAGCACUCCACGCCUCCCUAUUCCAUGAGGAGGACGAGGAGGACCUUGAGGAGAAGGCUGCCACCUGUGUGCUGCGUGCCUUUGACGAGCCUUAGCAGUGCCCACAGUUGCAUGCAGGACGUGCCGCUCCCACUUGCAGUCUGUGGAAAGUCAGGGCCUGCUGUGCCGUGAGCUUGGGAGCCCUGGCCAGCGUCCAUCACAGAAAGCAGAGCCACGGGUGUGAGGACAACAAGGUGCCCUGGGUCUGUCCCGCCACCCGGGGAGCAAAGGGAGCAAGUAAGUCUCAUGGUCCUUGUUUCUCACCAAGCUGGAGAGCAAAACCACCUCCAGGCCCGCGGCACUACCUGGCCUCUGGGCCGAGAACAGGUGCACCAUGGUGGCCGCAGAAGUUAAGACUCUGGUGAAAUUGAGGAACGGCUGAGCGAAUGAGACCGACAAAACUGAGAGCCGAGAUUCUGUUAGCUCCAGAGAGGGGAUCCUCUGAGCAGGUGAUGAGACGCCCGGCUGUUCGAGGCUCCCACUCUUCAUGGAGUGGGGGAGGGGAGCCGUCAACAUCAUCAUCAUGAUUAUGACUCCAAGCCUCACCCCCACUGCGCACAGCGAUCGAGCGAGCGGGAACUGCCUGGAGGUGAACCAUCCCUUCCGGGCCUCCUCACGGCUGCUUUCACUCCCAUUUUAUGGACCGAAUGAUGCAGAUGCAGAGAAGCUGCAAAACUUGCCCGAGUCCCAGAGCCGGGAAGAGAUGGACAGAGAAAGGCACAGUGACCAAAGCCCACCGGGUCUCUCCACACGUUAGGCCCAGAAAAGAUCCGGGUGGGUCACAGACGGCUUCACCAUAAAUGCCCAGGCCGCUGGUGAGGGCUGUGUCCCCCACAACUCAUAUGUCAGAGCCCAAGCCUUGGUGACAGGUUCAAGGUGGGCUUUGGGAAAUGGCUGGGCCACAAGGGCGCCUGUGUAAGCAGGGACGCAGAGCAGCCCGCUUCCCAGCAUGGGACAGUGCAACGCCAAGGGGCCCUCACCAGACUCCGGCUCUGCUCUGCUGGCCUCUGGAUCUUGGACUUCCAGGCCCCAGGACUGAGAGAUAUUAAAACUUGGAUCUUGGGGUGGCAGCAGCACAAAAAAGUUCUUUAUAAAACUCGCCUGUGCUGACUUGGAGACAGGCGCUCCCAAGAACCAGCUGUCCCCUGGGGUUACACGUGCAGAGUGACGGUGCCUGCACGUGAGCCUGUAAAUGGGCACGCGGUGUGCGCACACCGUGAGCUCUGUAUCCAGCACGGCAUGGAAACACACAGCCUGCAAAGCACUUUUCUGUAUUGGAAGAGACACUGCAGGUGCGUUGCCUGGAAAUUCCACUGUUAGACCUGGCUAAGGUAAACAAGCCCACCAUGCUGACUCCAGCUGACAGACCGCCCACCUCCCAGCCAUUCAUGAGCCAGCUGCUGCUGCUGGGGCCGGAAGCACCAGGGCCAUAAGUUAAUUUUUAAAGCAGAGGUGUGAAGAUAUGACUGAUGGUGAAUUCUGGGUCAUAAAGUUUUGACACUAGAAAUUUCCUUGGAAUGUUCAUCCAGGGCAGGAUGAUAGCACCCAGGCUCCACGAGAAGUGUGUGUGCGUGUGCAGGUAGACGGGUGUGAAUGGUGGGCGGUUAGGUGGAAAGCCCAUUAAUUUACUGCCUGGUGCUAUUCGGCUUGCAUACCACAUAUCAAUCAAGAGGGCGGAACAGGGCCGGAACUCAAGACACUGCGGAGAGAAGCCAGUCAUGCUGGAGAAUGUAAUCAAAGCUUCCUGCACUUGAUUUCAGGGCCUUGGGAACCUCCAAAUUAUGUGCCCUGGGAGUGGAACACAACCUAAAUUUGCAAAUAGAUGGAAAUUCUGAUUCUCACUGGUCUUUCAGCCAAGAGCGUGGAUGAGUGGGUUGAUUAAUUGAUUGACCGUGACUGGUAGCAGAUCUGGGGGAAGUCCAAGAACAGUCAGCGAACUGUGCAACUGUCUGCACUUUGGACUGCCUUACAGGGUGGGGAGCCCUUUGUUGGCACACCUGAGUGAGGACUACUGCUCGUCUAGGUCCUGUUAUUCCAAGCCCUGCCCUGAGGGCGAACAGUACAAACCCAGAGCUGGAGCUGUGCAGGUGGGAGCUUGGGUUCAGGUUCCAGGCUGGCAUCCAUUAACUGUGAGGCCUUGGCCCACACAUGUGGCCACCCUGUGCCUCAGUUUCCCCUUCUGUAAGGAGUGAUGUCACCAAGUUGUGGGAUUGCUUGAUAAUAACCUUGAAUCAGUGCCUAGUGUACAGGAAGCACCCAAUAAAUUGGGGGGGCACUGUCAUUGUCUAAUAAGUGUGCCCCAGAGUAGGGAAGGAACUUGUUUAGGGUUACACAGCCAAAGGGAGACACGGUCUAGACAGUGGUUCUCAUCCAGGGUGACUCUGCCUCGUGGGGGACAGGUGGCAGUGACUGUCACCAUUUUCAGUUGACACACCCAGACAUGCAUCUGGUCAGCAGAGGCCAGUGCUGUGACUAGACAUUCUGUACACAUGAGAACUAAUAUCUAGCCCUCCAGAUACAAGCUCCCUUAGUGUCUUAAAUCCCUGCCGUUUCAGAAAAGGAUGACUCUGCCCCCUUUUACUCCAGGUACAGGUCUUCCACCCUGUCCCUCCCCACACUAGCAGGAAAUGCCUCAGACAUGGUAGCAUUUAGGGUACAGUGUCAACUUGCCCAGGAGCUCCGCGGGGCACAGUUAUGAGUGUAUCAGGGUGAGUUGUGGGCUGCGGCCUCGAGGUCUAUAUCUGCUCCUCACCCACCCUCUCCGCCCCUGCUCCCCUGCCCCUUUCCUGGCUACCAUGAACUAAGCAGCUUGGCUCUGUGGUACCCUUCUGCCAUGAUGCUCCUGCCUUGGAGCCAGCUGACCAGCGACCGAACCCUGCAAAACCGUGAGCCAAGUUAAGCCUUUCCUCCUUCCAACUAUGGGUGUGAAGUAUUAUGUCCUAGCAGUGGGAAAGUUGGCUAAUACACAGGGCUCUACGGUCAGCCUCUGGGAAACAGAGACCUGUGCACACUCCUCACCAGAAA
Long non-coding RNA from Cavia porcellus (domestic guinea pig), 3332 nucleotides. RefSeq lists it as uncharacterized. NCBI's taxonomy places the organism in Eukaryota, Metazoa, Chordata, Mammalia, Rodentia, Caviidae. The transcript has 3 exons. The record is from RefSeq and is a predicted model, not a curated record.